UGUCUAUGGGCUCCGGUAACCGCUUAAC
This 28-nucleotide small RNA is filed under the name Bombyx mori (domestic silkworm). RNAcentral's name for it is "ovarian small RNA-35788". Lineage: Eukaryota; Metazoa; Arthropoda; Insecta; Lepidoptera; Bombycidae. The record is from RNAcentral.